GGGGUAGUAAAGGUUUCGACGGGGGCUGUGAAGCUGGAGAAGCUAUCCGCAGGCGAUGCGUCAAAUCGCAAAAUAAAUAUAAACGCUGAAGAUAAUUUAGCAAUCGCUGCCUAAUGGCGGCUGUCUGACUUAGAGCACCUGCACUUUAAGACCCAGGCAUCGACGAUGCAGGAAACGACGUAUGUUAAGCUUUGCGCAUACGGGCGUAUCAUGAAGCUACCAAAAGCAGUCAGGUGUCAGUUCCCGGCUGCCGGAGGGAAUGAAAAAUAACUGACUAUGAUAGUAGAAGGACAGGGGAUUGGCUUUCGGACACGGGUUCGACUCCCGUCUACUCCAUUC
RNAcentral lists this transfer-messenger RNA (339 nucleotides) under Lachnospiraceae bacterium. It matches the Rfam family "transfer-messenger RNA". Rfam says of the family: Bacterial tmRNA, also known as 10Sa RNA or SsrA, is named for its dual tRNA and mRNA-like properties. Its role is to liberate the mRNA from a stalled ribosome. The record is from RNAcentral. Lineage: Bacteria; Bacillati; Bacillota; Clostridia; Lachnospirales; Lachnospiraceae.